Molecule: ribosomal RNA, 479 nt
Filed under: uncultured bacterium
Lineage: Bacteria
Description: partial 16S ribosomal RNA
Rfam family: Bacterial small subunit ribosomal RNA
Source: RNAcentral
GAUGAACGCUAGCGGGAGGCCUAACACAUGCAAGCCGAGCGGUAUUUGUUCUUCGGAACAGAGAGAGCGGCGCACGGGUGCGGAACACGUGUGCAACCUGCCUUUAUCUGGGGGAUAGCCUUUCGAAAGGAAGAUUAAUACCCCAUAAUAUAUUGAGUGGCAUCAUUUGAUAUUGAAAACUCCGGUGGAUAGAGAUGGGCACGCGCAAGAUUAGAUAGUUGGUGAGGUAACGGCUCACCAAGUCAAUGAUCUUUAGGGGGCCUGAGAGGGUGAUCCCCCACACUGGUACUGAGACACGGACCAGACUCCUACGGGCGGCAGCAGUGAGGAAUAUUGGACAAUGGGUUAGCGCCUGAUCCAGCCAUCCCGCGUGAAGGACGACGGCCCUAUGGGUUGUAAACUUCUUUUGUAUAGGGAUAAACCUACUCUCGUGAGAGUAGCUGAAGGUACUAUACGAAUAAGCACCGGCUAACUCCGUG